RNAcentral lists this long non-coding RNA (286 nucleotides) under Piliocolobus tephrosceles (Ugandan red Colobus). Its description in RNAcentral is "lncRNA (ENSPTEG00000020106.1)". Lineage: Eukaryota; Metazoa; Chordata; Mammalia; Primates; Cercopithecidae. The record is from RNAcentral.
GCGUCCAAGCUGUUAGGGUCGCUCCCUACGGCGCAUGCGCUGUGGCUCACCCACGCCGUAGGUCUUGCUAUGGGUUUAUUAAGAAAACGCAAACGCGCGUGAGGCGUGGGGCGUGGGGCGUGGAGGACAACUAACUAGGCUGACCUGUAAAAGCAGAGGAAAUUGGAACCUGGAAAGUUCUGAAGUGCUUCGGAACAAGAACAAAACCCUAAUUAUUCAUAUAUGCAGAAAGGCUAAGAAAGUGUGUUAGACUGGCAACACUGGAUAAGAAAUCAAAAUCCCACAG